UUGAAGGCACAGAGUGUAUGUGUGGGUACAACUGACCAAGUUCACCCAUAUGCUCAAGUUAUUAAUUAAUAUUCUUCUCAUCAGCAUAGUUCAAGACAAGCGAGUUACAAGCAGCCAAUAAAUAAUUGAGUCUUGACCAGACAAACCAGUGAUUGAUAUUACGGGCAGUGAACCAGAUGGUCGGGCACACUGACAAGCUACCAAGUCACCCAGCCUGUCCAGCCAAUCCAUCAAAUUCAAAGAUCUCACCAGUGAUCUCCUGGUCUCUUCGAGGUCUGAUGAUACCGGUGGUAGACGGAGGUUUGGUGGACACGAGACGAGCCUGUGGAGACUUCCCUCGUACUGGACUCUCCUGGAUCCUU
Molecule: long non-coding RNA, 362 nt
Organism: Haliotis rufescens (red abalone)
Lineage: Eukaryota; Metazoa; Mollusca; Gastropoda; Lepetellida; Haliotidae
Exons: 3
Source: RefSeq, a predicted model, not a curated record